CCUACGGGUGGCAGCAGUGAGGAAUAUUGGUCAAUGGACGAGAGUCUGAACCAGCCAAGUAGCGUGAAGGAUGACUGCCCUAUGGGUUGUAAACUUCUUUUAUAAAGGAAUAAAACGAGGCACGUGUGCCUUUUUGCAUGUACUUGGUGAAUAAGCAUCGGCUAACUCCGUGCCAGCAGCCGCGGUAAUACGGAGGAUCCGAGCGUUAUCCGGAUUUACUGGGUGUAAAGGGAGCGCAGGCGGCGCGUUAAGCCCGGUGUGAAAGCGCGCGGCCCAACCGCGGCAGUGCAUUGGAAACUGGGGGGCUUGAGUGGGGGAGAGGUAGGCGGAAUGCGUAGUGUAGCGGUGAAAUGCGUAGAUAUUAGGAGGAACACCAGUGGCGAAGGCGGCCUACUGG
RNAcentral lists this ribosomal RNA (397 nucleotides) under uncultured bacterium. RNAcentral describes it as "partial 16S ribosomal RNA". It matches the Rfam family "Bacterial small subunit ribosomal RNA", at positions 338 to 732 of the family's 1533-position model. The record is from RNAcentral.